Molecule: signal recognition particle RNA, 296 nt
Filed under: Cebus imitator (Panamanian white-faced capuchin)
Lineage: Eukaryota; Metazoa; Chordata; Mammalia; Primates; Cebidae
Description: Metazoan signal recognition particle RNA (ENSCCAG00000006558.1)
Rfam family: Metazoan signal recognition particle RNA
About the family: The signal recognition particle (SRP) is a universally conserved ribonucleoprotein. It is involved in the co-translational targeting of proteins to membranes.
Source: RNAcentral
ACCAGGCACAGUGGCUUGCCUGUAGUCUCACUACUUGGGAGGCUGAGGUGGGAGGAUUGCUUGAGCCCAAGAGUUCUGGGUUGUAAUGUGCUAUGCCAGUCAGGUGUCCGCCCUAAGUUUGGCAUCAAUAUGGUGACCUCCCAGGAGCAGGAGACCACCAGGUUGCCUAAGGAGGGGUGAACCAGCCCAGGUCAGAAACGGAGCAGGUCAAAACUCCUGUGCUGAUCAGUAGUGGGAUUGCACCUGUGAAUAGCCACUGCACUCCAGCCUGGGCAACAUAACGAGACCCCAUCUCU